RNAcentral lists this ribosomal RNA (376 nucleotides) under uncultured eukaryote. RNAcentral describes it as "partial 18S ribosomal RNA". It matches the Rfam family "Eukaryotic small subunit ribosomal RNA", at positions 592 to 976 of the family's 1831-position model. The record is from RNAcentral.
CAAUAGCGUAUAUUAAAGUUGUUGCAGUUAAAAAGCUCGUAGUUGGAUUUCGGGGCAGCCUGGCUGGUCCGCCGCAAGGCGAGUACUGGUCAGCCGCCCUUCCUCUCGAAAGCCCCGACUGCUCUUCGUUGCAGUGGUCGGGUAGUUCGGGACGUUUACUUUGAAAAAUUAGAGUGUUCAAGGCAGGCCUACGCCUGAAUACAUUAGCAUGGAAUAAUGGAAGAGGACCUCGGUCCUAUUUUGUUGGUUUCCAGGGCCGAAGUAAUGAUUAAGAGGGACAGUUGGGGGCAUUCGUAUUUAAUUGUCAGAGGUGAAAUUCUCGGAUUUAUGAAAGACGAACAACUGCGAAAGCAUUUGCCAAGGAUGUUUUCAUUAA